GCCAAAGUAGCUCAGUCGGUAGAGCAGCUGAUUUGUAAUCAGCCGGUCGUAGGUUCGACUCCUAUCUUUGGCU
RNAcentral lists this transfer RNA (73 nucleotides) under Fibrobacter sp. RNAcentral's name for it is "tRNA-Thr". It matches the Rfam family "tRNA". Rfam says of the family: Transfer RNA (tRNA) molecules are approximately 80 nucleotides in length. Their secondary structure includes four short double-helical elements and three loops (D, anti-codon, and T loops). Further hydrogen bonds mediate the characteristic L-shaped molecular structure. tRNAs have two regions of fundamental functional importance: the anti-codon, which is responsible for specific mRNA codon recognition, and the 3' end, to which the tRNAs corresponding amino acid is attached (by aminoacyl-tRNA synthetases). tRNAs cope with the degeneracy of the genetic code in two manners: having more than one tRNA (with a specific anti-codon) for a particular amino acid; and 'wobble' base-pairing, i.e. permitting non-standard base-pairing at the 3rd anti-codon position. The record is from RNAcentral. Lineage: Bacteria; Pseudomonadati; Fibrobacterota; Fibrobacteria; Fibrobacterales; Fibrobacteraceae.